RNAcentral lists this long non-coding RNA (1208 nucleotides) under Phasianus colchicus (ring-necked pheasant). RNAcentral describes it as "lncRNA (ENSPCLG00000019033.1)". Lineage: Eukaryota; Metazoa; Chordata; Aves; Galliformes; Phasianidae. The record is from RNAcentral.
GGUCCUCCAGGCCCAUAGAUACUGAUUGGAGGUCCUCCAGAACCAUUGAAAGUCCUCCAGACCCAUAGAUUCCCAAUCGGGGUCCACCAGACCCAUAGAUACUGAUUGGAGGUCCUCCAGCCCCAUAGAUUCCCAAUCGGGGUCCUCCAGGGCUUUUGGGGGUCCUCCAGGGCUGUUGGAGGUCCUCCAGACCCAUAGAUACUGAUUGGAGGUCCUCCAGACCCAUAGAUUCCCAAUCGGGGUCCUCCAGGGUUGUUGGAGGUCCUCCAGGCCCAUAGAUACUGAUUGGAAGUCCUCCAGGGUUGUUGGAGGUCCUCCAGACCCAUAGAUUCCCAAUCAGGGUCCUCCAGACCCAUAGAUACUGAUUGGAGGUCCUCCAGACCCAUAGAUUCCCAAUCAGGGUCCUCCAGGGCUGUUGGAGGUCCUCCAGACCCAUAGAUACUGAUUGGAAGUCCUCCAGGGUUGUUGGAGGUCCUCCAGACCCAUAGAUACUGACUGGAAGUCCUCCAAGGUUGUUGGAGGUCCUCCAGCCCCAUAGAUUCCCAAUCGGGGUCCUCCAGCCCCAUAGAUACUGAUUGAAAGUCCUCCAAGGUUGUUGGAGGUCCUCCAGCCCCACAGGAGGACCUCCAACACCACUGGAGGACCUCCCCCAAGUCCUCCAACCCCACAGGAGGACCUCCAACCCUACAGGAGGACCUCCCCAAGUCCUCCAACCCCACAGGAGGACCUCCCAAGUCCUCCAGCCCCACAGGAGGACCUCCAACCCCAUAGAAGGACCUCCAACCUUACAGGAGGACCUUCCCCCAAGUCCUCCAACCCCACAGGAGGACCUCNNNNNNNNNNNNNNNNNNNNNNNNNNNNNCCAACCCCCCACCCCCCCAAAAAAUCUCCUCACCCUGCACUUCCUUCCUGAUCACCCCGCCGCUCCGCUGGUCUUUGACGCUACAGACGAAGCUCUUCCUCUUUUCCCCGGCCGUCAGUCGGACGAAGCUGAGCCUUUUUGGGGAGCCCGAAACGAUGGCGGCCAUGUCGGAACCCCCGACCCCCUCCCAGCUGACGGAGGAAGAGGAGGAGGAAGGAGAAACCAGGCAACCCACGGCGGCGGGGAGAGAGGAGUCGGAACAACAGGCGGACAGCGGGUACAGCUGGGGGCUGCUUGUAGGGCGGGCUGUGGGGAGAGAGGAAGGGGGUCAGAUUCUGCCCCAUAG